AUGGCAGACAGCGGGCAGUUCGUGGUCACCAUUGGUCUGACAAACAUCAACACCACGAGGCAAGAUCCCAUCAAUGUCGCGUCCAGCAGAAAUUUGUUACCCUCUAGCCAUGUAUCCAGCUCCAGCAACAAUGAUGAUUUUGAGCUAUUGUGGAGACAUCGGGGAUCGUGGACACUAAACAAGGAUGGUCAUCAUGCUGGUGACCCUGUCAUGCAUGAUGGCUUUUCUGAACGAUAUGAGGUGUUCUUUUACUGCAAUGCAGCAGCCUUCGCUGCAUCUCUUGUCUUAAUCAUCUUGCUUCUCAGUAAGAGUGUGACAAGGAAGAGGAUGUGGCUCCACUCAAUGCAAUUAACCAUGAUAUUAGACCUAUUCAGCCUGCUGGGGGCUUAUGCUGCCGGAAGUUUCAGGGCACUCAAAUCAUCCAUUUACAUCUGGGUUCUAGUCCUUGCUGUUAUCAUAUAUGUUGGGAUCCAUACCCUAGUAUCCACAAGGUUUAUUCCAAGAAAAUUGAGACGGAAUCUGCAGAACAUGAUAAAUACAGUUCUAAUCAAACAGGGUUUCCUUGUGAGGCAAGUGAGCAUCCCUUUAGAGAACGUUGAGGAGGCUCGCAAGUUCAUUUUGAUGCUUGUAACUUUUGCUGCUACUAUCACAUACCAAGCAGGAUUGAAUCCACCGGGCGGCUUUUGGGCUGAAAAUGACAGUGGUUCUAAUAAGCUGCAUUUGGCCCUUCCUCUUUACAAUCAUCAUCCGGCUACUUCUGUUCUCCAGAGUAACUACCUUCGUCGUUAUAAUAUAUUUAUCACUUCCAAUUCAACUUCCUUCGUGACAUCUUUGGUCAUAAUCAUACUACUUCUGAGCCCAAAAUUGAGUGGACAUGGAAUAAGGACCAAAGCAAUGAUUGUAUGUGUGGUAGUGGACCUAUUGUGCCUAAUUGUUGCAUAUGCUGCAGGAUGUUGUAGAGAGGUAGCAACAUCAUUCUAUGUGGUGUUUAUCAUCGUCAUAGUUUGGAUCUCCUUUGCAAUUUUAGCUGGAUUCUUUGUUACCAGGCCUGUAGCAAAUUGGCUAAAAAAUGUCAAAUCAAGCAGCCUGUGGUGUGUGAGAAAAUUGGGCCGUGCACUUUCAUUGAGCUUUCGUGGCCACAAAUCGCGCAAUGCAGAGCAGGACAAUUCUUACGCAAGCAAUCAUCAAUCUUCAGUCCGUUCAACUGAUGCACCUGCAGAAGAUAAUACUGCUGAACCACAAGACCAGACUGCAGAGGAACUUCCAAAUAUCAGAGAGGAUGUCUCCUAUAAGGAGCAUGCACCUGUAGAAGAAAGAAAUCAAAUUUCAGAUGAUAAAGAGGCUGUGAAUAACUCACAGCAUCUGUCAGGGAACAGCCAGCAAUCAGCAAAUAUCCAGGAUGUUGCGUCCAACACAGAGUGCCAUUCUCCAGAUGUCCAGAACGUUGCAGAAAUGGAUGAGGAUGUGUCCAGCUCACCACAUCCUGCUGGGAACUGUCAACGAUCAGAACAUGGCAUGGGUGUCGUGUCUAACAUGCAGUACGGGUCUACAGAAGGCAAGCAAGAUGCAAAUAUGGAGGCAGCUAAAUCUAGCACCGAGCAAGAUGAUGACCAUCCUAUACAUUCUGAGAAUGUACAUACUGACAGCAAUCAAGUACCCAAUCAAAAUGCUGAUGACAUUCGAACUGAGAAGCAUCUGAAGAAGACCCGCACAUGUAUGCUGCUUCUUGCCAUUCUUGCAGUAUCUCUGGCAUACCAAUCAGGCCUGAAUCCACCAGGUGGAUUUUGGUCAAGAAGUACAGAUCAUCAUUCAGCUGCUGAUCGCAUCCUUGAGGACACCCACCAUCGCCGGUUCAUUGCAUUCUUCUAUCUCAAUGCAAUCGCCUUUGUGGCAUCCAUUGUCAUGAUCACUUUGCUCUUGAACAAGAUGGCGAGCGACAAGGUUACCAAACGGCGUGCAUUGCCAAUAACGAUGAUAGUGGUCCUACUUUCCCUAACCAGAGGUUUUGCUCUAGGGAACUGCAGGGAGGCAAAGAAGACUAUUUUCAUAUCAGUGCUCGUAUGUAGUGUACUUGCUUAUGUUCUCAUUCAUGUCUUGAUAGCAAUACAUAUAAUUCCUCCAGAAUGGAGAAGGCAGGUGGCGGAGAUGCUAGAGCACUCAGUUAGUCAUUUUUGCUCAGUGCCGUGUCAAUUUGGCCACAACCAUACUGGGGGUGAUACUAGUGAGGAGUUGGGAAGGCGGCGUAAUCUGCUAUUGACCAUUGCUAUUUUGGCUGUGACUGUCACAUACCAAGCUGGCAUGAACCCUCCAGGAGGUGUCUGGUCUGAUGCCACGGGAACUCCGGGCAAUCCAAUCCUUCAGGAUACCCAUCCAAAACGCUAUGAUGUGUUCUACUACUCAAAUUCAGUUUCAUUUGUGUCUUCUGUGGUCGUCACAAUAUUACUUGUGAAUAAGGAAUCCUGUGAGUAUGGAAUCAAGUCAUAUGCACUGCGAGUGUGUUUGGUGGCGGGCUUGCUUGGCCUCCUCAUUGCGUAUGUUGCAGGAAGUUGCAGAAAUAUUAAACAGUCCAUAUAUCUGAGCACCAUUGCUAUGGGAGUUCUAGUCUCCCUUCUGAUUCAAGUUCUGCUCUCUUCGAUGCAUGAUACACUAGGAAAACCAUUGGCUAAGUGUCUAGGAUUUCUACACGAUCUUCUCUUCCAUGCAGAGGGUGAACAAGUAAACACUCCUGUGAGUCCAGAAGCUUCAGUUGACGUGAGGUCAGAAGCUUCAGUUGAGGUGAGGCCAGAAGCUUCAGUUGUCGAAGAAGAAAAGGUGGGAAAGAGACACAAGUAUCUGAUGCUUCUUGCAAUUUUAGCAGCAUCGAUCGCAUACCAAGCUGGUCUGAACCCACCUGGUGGAUUUUGGUCUGAUGAUAAGGGCCAUGUACCAGGCAAUCCCGUCCUUCGUGAUAUUAAUCACCGACGGUUCAAGAUCUUCUUCUGGUUCAAUUCUUUCGCAUUCAUGGCAUCAAUUGUCGUGAUCAUGCUGCUGCUGAGUAAAUCUAUCAGGAAGAAGGCUGUGCCAAUUGGGGUAUUGCACUUGAUCAUGAUACUGGAUAUGUUGGCUCUCAUGACAGCUUUUGCUGCGGGGAGCUGCCGCAAAUUGAGGACUUCAGUGUAUGUCUAUGCACUAGUUGGCUGUGUUGUAGUAAUCCUGCUGCUCCUAAUUAUUGUGACAAGUGCAAUUGCAAAAUAUCGGAAGCCAAGAGAGGGAAGUGGGAUUAACUCCCCGAGACGUCCUGAACCUGUUUUAGGAGCAAACACACCGGCACGACCUGAAGUUUGA
RNAcentral lists this ribosomal RNA (3324 nucleotides) under Triticum aestivum (bread wheat). RNAcentral describes it as "partial small subunit ribosomal RNA". Lineage: Eukaryota; Viridiplantae; Streptophyta; Magnoliopsida; Poales; Poaceae. The record is from RNAcentral.